UGAGGAAUAUUGGUCAAUGGGCGGGAGCCUGAACCAGCCAAGCCGCGUGAGGGAGGAAGGCCCUAUGGGUCGUAAACCUCUUUUGUCAGGGAACAAAAGCGAGUAUGUAUACUAGUCUGAGUGUACCUGAAGAAAAAGCAUCGGCUAACUCCGUGCCAGCAGCCGCGGUAAUACGGAGGAUGCGAGCGUUAUCCGGAUUUAUUGGGUUUAAAGGGUGCGUAGGCGGCGGUGCAAGUCAGCGGUAAAAGCCCGGGGCUCAACCCCGGCGAGCCGUUGAAACUGCAGUGCUAGAGAAGGCGAGAGGUACGCGGAAUGCGCAGUGUAGCGGUGAAAUGCUUAGAUAUUGCGUAGAACUCCGAUUGCGAAGGCAGCGUACUGGCGCCUGACUGACGCUGAGGCACGAAAGCGUGGGGAUCGAACAGGAUUAGAUACCC
This 434-nucleotide ribosomal RNA is filed under the name uncultured bacterium. Its description in RNAcentral is "bacterial SSU rRNA". It matches the Rfam family "Bacterial small subunit ribosomal RNA", at positions 355 to 787 of the family's 1533-position model. The record is from RNAcentral.